RNAcentral lists this non-coding RNA (148 nucleotides) under Homo sapiens (human). The record is from Rfam by way of RNAcentral. Lineage: Eukaryota; Metazoa; Chordata; Mammalia; Primates; Hominidae.
GCCGGGCGUGGUGGCGGGUGCCUGUAAUCCUAGUUACUCGGGAGGCUGAAGCGGGAGAAUCAUUUGAACCCAGGAGGCAUAGGUUUCAGUGAGCCAAGAUCACACCACUGCACUCCAGCCUGGGUAACAGAGUGAGAUUCCGUCUCAG